RNAcentral lists this transfer RNA (64 nucleotides) under Medon apicalis. Its description in RNAcentral is "tRNA-Cys". The record is from RNAcentral. Lineage: Eukaryota; Metazoa; Arthropoda; Insecta; Coleoptera; Staphylinidae.
AGUCUUAUAAUCAAAAUUUAUGAUUCUAAAUUGCAAGUUUGGAAGUGGGGCACCCCUAAGGCUU